CGUUAAAGUGUCCUACACCUUACGCAAUCUUCUCGAGGCCAAGUUCGCAGCACAGAACUACAAAGGCUGGAUGGAGGCUUGUUUAGAAGAUGCAGCAGUCGAACGCCUCUACCCCCAUGAAAAAGGGUGCCUGCUGCCAUUCAUGCAUCCGCAAAGAAUGAUGCUCCCAGAACAAGACAUUCAUCUGGAACAUUCACAGCCGACGGCCCCUCCGGCUGGAAGCACCUGCCCACCCCCUACAAGCUGACUUCAACGAUGGCCUCCUGAGCACAGGGCUUCCUGAGAAAGGCCUGGACCCAGGGCAGGGACGCGCUUCCUAAGCCUCUGGAAUUCACUGUGUAGGCGUCAACCGAGGCCGCUGUCUCCUCCAGGGUGAGCCCUCCUGCACUGCUACGACUCACACUGGCAGGGGCUCCAUAUCUCCUGGUGCCAUCUGCUUGCCAUGGUGAACACUAUAGUGAUAAACCACGUCCAUGAAGCAUUUGGGUGACCGGAAACAUGGCUGUGAGCCCACCCCAGGGUCCACACUCACGUCCCGCCCUCUGUGAAUCAACACCAUCCCUCCCCGCCCAGUCAGGGUGUCCUCCACCUUUACCAAAAUGCCGUGCCCAAGACUCCAGCACCGACUCUACAUCCUCCACAGGCUUACCGGACGACCCAGGGGCAAGGUUUUAAGUGACCCCUUAACCUCAGAGUGAGGGGCAAGAGUAGGGAAGAGUGAGACCACAGAAGAGGAAGCACGGAACCUAGGCAAAGUCCAGAGAGGGCACUGCUAUCUGAAAAAUAAAGUUGUGAUUAAUGUGGCCCCAAGACUUGCGCCUUCAAUCUCCAUGGUCCCCGCCUGGCAGACCUGACAGUAAAAACAACUUGUCUCUGCAGCCUCCUCCGGCCUCCCCUCGCACCCCGAAGUGGGUGCAGACAGGCCACACCCAAAUUACAUACCACCCUGGGCCAGAGCUGUCCGCCCAGCGAAGCUAAGUCCACCUUCCAUAAGACCAGGCCUCAUCCCCAGGUGGGUUCACAACC
This 1026-nucleotide long non-coding RNA is filed under the name Mus musculus (house mouse). RNAcentral describes it as "long non-coding RNA chr19:5843982-5845008". Lineage: Eukaryota; Metazoa; Chordata; Mammalia; Rodentia; Muridae. The record is from RNAcentral.